Molecule: ribosomal RNA, 560 nt
Filed under: uncultured Alphaproteobacteria bacterium
Lineage: Bacteria; Pseudomonadati; Pseudomonadota; Alphaproteobacteria
Description: bacterial SSU rRNA
Rfam family: Bacterial small subunit ribosomal RNA
Source: RNAcentral
CCUACGGGAGGCAGCAGUGGGGAAUCUUAGACAAUGGGCGCAAGCCUGAUCUAGCCAUGCCGCGUGAGUGACGAAGGCCUUAGGGUCGUAAAGCUCUUUCGCCAGGGAUGAUAAUGACAGUACCUGGUAAAGAAACCCCGGCUAACUCCGUGCCAGCAGCCGCGGUAAUACGGAGGGGGUUAGCGUUGUUCGGAAUUACUGGGCGUAAAGCGCGCGUAGGCGGAUUAUUAAGUUAGGGGUGAAAUCCCGGGGCUCAACCCCGGAACUGCCUCUAAUACUGGUAGUCUUGAGUUCGAGAGAGGUGAGUGGAAUUCCGAGUGUAGAGGUGAAAUUCGUAGAUAUUCGGAGGAACACCAGUGGCGAAGGCGGCUCACUGGCUCGAUACUGACGCUGAGGUGCGAAAGUGUGGGGAGCAAACAGGAUUAGAUACCCUGGUAGUCCACACCGUAAACGAUGAAUGCCAGACGUCGGCAAGCAUGCUUGUCGGUGUCACACCUAACGGAUUAAGCAUUCCGCCUGGGGAGUACGGUCGCAAGAUUAAAACUCAAAUGAAUUGACGG